RNAcentral lists this ribosomal RNA (450 nucleotides) under Micrococcus sp. RNAcentral describes it as "bacterial SSU rRNA". It matches the Rfam family "Bacterial small subunit ribosomal RNA", at positions 9 to 473 of the family's 1533-position model. The record is from RNAcentral. Lineage: Bacteria; Bacillati; Actinomycetota; Actinomycetes; Micrococcales; Micrococcaceae.
GAGUUUGAUCAUGGCUCAGGAUGAACGCUGGCGGCGUGCUUAACACAUGCAAGUCGAACGAUGAAGCCCAGCUUGCUGGGUGGAUUAGUGGCGAACGGGUGAGUAACACGUGAGUAACCUGCCCUUAACUCUGGGAUAAGCCUGGGAAACUGGGUCUAAUACCGGAUAGGAGCGCCUACCGCAUGGUGGGUGUUGGAAAGAUUUAUCGGUUUUGGAUGGACUCGCGGCCUAUCAGCUUGUUGGUGAGGUAAUGGCUCACCAAGGCGAAGACGGGUAGCCGGCCUGAGAGGGUGACCGGCCACACUGGGACUGAGACACGGCCCAGACUCGUACGGGAGGCAGCAGUGGGGAAUAUUGCACAAUGGGCGCAAGCGUGAUGCAGAGAUGCCGCGUUAGGGAAGAUGGCUUUCGGGUAUAAACCUCUUUCAGUAGGGAAGAAGCGAAAGUGAC